This 409-nucleotide ribosomal RNA is filed under the name bacterium enrichment culture clone LiUU-16-363. RNAcentral describes it as "bacterial SSU rRNA". It matches the Rfam family "Bacterial small subunit ribosomal RNA", at positions 509 to 916 of the family's 1533-position model. The record is from RNAcentral.
CAGCAGCCGCGGUAAUACGUAGGUGGCAAGCGUUAUCCGGAAUUAUUGGGCGUAAAGCGCGCGUAGGCGGUUUUUUAAGUCUGAUGUGAAAGCUCACGGCUCAACCGUGGAGGGUCAUUGGAAACUGGAAAACUUGAGUGCAGAAGAGGAAAGUGGAAUUCCAUGUGUAGCGGUGAAAUGCGCAGAGAUAUGGAGGAACACCAGUGGCGAAGGCGACUUUCUGGUCUGUAACUGACGCUGAUGUGCGAAAGCGUGGGGAUCAAACAGGAUUAGAUACCCUGGUAGUCCACGCCGUAAACGAUGAGUGCUAAGUGUUAGGGGGUUUCCGCCCCUUAGUGCUGCAGCUAACGCAUUAAGCACUCCGCCUGGGGAUUACGACCGCAAGGUUGAAACUCAAAUGAAUUGACGG